This 74-nucleotide transfer RNA is filed under the name Salimicrobium halophilum. RNAcentral's name for it is "tRNA_Gly_TCC". It matches the Rfam family "tRNA". Rfam says of the family: Transfer RNA (tRNA) molecules are approximately 80 nucleotides in length. Their secondary structure includes four short double-helical elements and three loops (D, anti-codon, and T loops). Further hydrogen bonds mediate the characteristic L-shaped molecular structure. tRNAs have two regions of fundamental functional importance: the anti-codon, which is responsible for specific mRNA codon recognition, and the 3' end, to which the tRNAs corresponding amino acid is attached (by aminoacyl-tRNA synthetases). tRNAs cope with the degeneracy of the genetic code in two manners: having more than one tRNA (with a specific anti-codon) for a particular amino acid; and 'wobble' base-pairing, i.e. permitting non-standard base-pairing at the 3rd anti-codon position. The record is from RNAcentral. Lineage: Bacteria; Bacillati; Bacillota; Bacilli; Caryophanales; Bacillaceae.
GCGGGUGUAGUUUAAUGGUAAAACCUCAGCCUUCCAAGCUGAUGACGGGGGUUCGAUUCCCCUCACCCGCUCCA